CUUUAGUUAAUACCUAAAGUGAGUGGACGUUACUCGCAGAAUAAGCACCGGCUAACUCUGUGCCAGCAGCCGCGGUAAUACAGAGGGUGCGAGCGUUAAUCGGAUUUACUGGGCGUAAAGCGUGCGUAGGCGGCUUUUUAAGUCGGAUGUGAAAUCCCUGAGCUUAACUUAGGAAUUGCAUUCGAUACUGGAAAGCUAGAGUAUGGGAGAGGAUGGUAGAAUUCCAGGUGUAGCGGUGAAAUGCGUAGAGAUCUGGAGGAAUACCGAUGGCGAAGGCAGCCAUCUGGCCUAAUACUGACGCUGAGGUACGAAAGCAUGGGGAGCAAACAGGAUUAGAUACCCUGGUAGUCCAUGCCGUAAACGAUGUCUACUAGCCGUUGGGGCCUUUGAGGCUUUAGUGGCGCAGCUAACGCGAUAAGUAGACCGCCUGGGGAGUACGGUCGCAAGACUAAAACUCAAAUGAAUUGACGGGGGCCCGCACAAGCGGUGGAGCAUGUGGUUUAAUUCGAUGCAACGCGAAGAACCUUACCUGGCCUUGACAUACUAAGAACUUUCCAGAGAUGGAUUGGUGCCUUCGGGAACUUAGAUACAGGUGCUGCAUGGCUGUCGUCAGCUCGUGUCGUGAGAUGUUGGGUUAAGUCCCGCAACGAGCGCAACCCUUUUCCUUAUUUGCCAGCGGGUUAUGCCGGGAACUUUAAGGAUACUGCCAGUGACAAACUGGAGGAAGGCGGGGACGACGUCAAGUCAUCAUGGCCCUUACGGCCAGGGCUACACACGUGCUACAAUGGUCGGUACAAAGGGUUGCUACCUCGCGAGAGGAUGCUAAUCUCAAAAAGCCGAUCGUAGUCCGGAUCGCAGUCUGCAACUCGACUGCGUGAAGUCGGAAUCGCUAGUAAUCGCGGAUCAGAAUGCCGCGGUGAAUACGUUCCCGGGCCUUGUACACACCGCCCGUCACACCAUGGGAGUUUGUUGCACCAGAAGUAGGUAGUCUAACCGCAAGGAGGACGCUACCCACGGGGGCCCCGAAGG
RNAcentral lists this ribosomal RNA (1029 nucleotides) under Acinetobacter schindleri. Its description in RNAcentral is "bacterial SSU rRNA". It matches the Rfam family "Bacterial small subunit ribosomal RNA", at positions 451 to 1473 of the family's 1533-position model. Lineage: Bacteria; Pseudomonadati; Pseudomonadota; Gammaproteobacteria; Moraxellales; Moraxellaceae. The record is from RNAcentral.